UGGGGAAUAUUGCACAAUGGGCGCAAGCCUGAUGCAGCCAUGCCGCGUGCAUGAAGAAGGCCUUCGGGUUGUAAAGUACUUUCAGUCGGGAGGAAGGUGUCAAGGUUAAUAACCUUGGCAAUUGACGUUACCGACAGAAGAAGCACCGGCUAACUCCGUGCCAGCAGCCGCGGUAAUACGGAGGGUGCAAGCGUUAAUCGGAAUUACUGGGCGUAAAGCGCACGCAGGCGGUUUGUUAAGUCAGAUGUGAAAUCCCCGGGCUCAACCUGGGAACUGCAUCUGAUACUGGCAAGCUUGAGUCUCGUAGAGGGGGGUAGAAUUCCAGGUGUAGCGGUGAAAUGCGUAGAGAUCUGGAGGAAUACCGGUGGCGAAGGCGGCCCCCUGGACGAAGACUGACGCUCAGGUGCGAAAGCGUGGGGAGCAAACAGG
Molecule: ribosomal RNA, 429 nt
Filed under: Chloroflexota bacterium
Lineage: Bacteria; Bacillati; Chloroflexota
Description: Chloroflexi bacterium partial 16S ribosomal RNA
Rfam family: Bacterial small subunit ribosomal RNA
Source: RNAcentral